Molecule: ribosomal RNA, 372 nt
Filed under: uncultured organism
Description: bacterial SSU rRNA
Rfam family: Bacterial small subunit ribosomal RNA
Source: RNAcentral
CAGAGGUCUCAAGCGUUGUUCGGAUUCAUUGGGCGUAAAGGGUGCGUAGGUGGCGCUGUAAGUCAGGUGUGAAAUUUCGGAGCUCAACUCCGAAACUGCAUUUGAUACUGCGGUGCUUGAGGACUGGAGAGGAGAUUGGAAUUCACGGUGUAGCAGUGAAAUGCGUAGAUAUCGUGAGGAAGACCAGUGGCGAAGGCGGAUCUCUGGACAGUUCCUGACACUGAGGCACGAAGGCCAGGGGAGCAAACGGGAUUAGAUACCCCGGUAGUCCUGGCAGUAAACGGUGCACGUUUGGUGUGAGAGGAUUCGACCCCUUUCGCGCCGGAGCUAACGCGUUAAACGUGCCGCCUGGGGAGUACGGUCGCAAGAUUA